This is a long non-coding RNA of Aquila chrysaetos chrysaetos, 693 nucleotides long. RefSeq lists it as uncharacterized. The record is from RefSeq and is a predicted model, not a curated record. Lineage: Eukaryota; Metazoa; Chordata; Aves; Accipitriformes; Accipitridae. The transcript has 3 exons.
GGAGAAGAUGACUCAGUUGCCCGCGUUACCAUGUGAUGUCCUAGCGCCCGUGCAAGGAGUGAGUUAGAGGAAACCAUUUGCCUUCCCUUCAGGGACAAAGUGGAAAAUUGUUGUGUGACAAAUGUUCCCAACUUGGUCUAAAGAAGUAACACCCGACGAGUAGCAUCCUUGUUUCCUUGUGGCCAACAGAACUGGACAACUUUGGUAAGGGAGUCAGGGCAGCUUUCCCUGACUCUUGGGGUCAAGGACCUUUGUGAACAGCCUUUCCAUCACUUAGCAGCGAAGAUGAGGAGACACCAAAGGUAUUCUCUGAUUUAUCAGGUUUGGUGGAGUCUCUCCUUGUCUGAUUUAUGUCAGCUCAAUUCAGCUGCAACCCUGGGCUGAAGUUUCCAGCGUGUAAUGUUUUCUUUUUCUUUUUAUUUUGGUUUUGGAAUCAGCACCACCAGAAUUCAUUCAAAGAAGGAACGUGUUUAGUAAAGCUGGGAGUUUCUGCUGUGGUUGAUAUUGUUUUCCUGACACACUCAUUUGAAAUUCAGCUAACAUACUCUUCUGCAGCAUUUGCAAGCAGGGAGGGAAGGACUGCCAUUUCUGCAACAGUAAUAUGACUAACUCCCUGGCAAUCUCUCAGCUAACUCCUCCUGAAGAGUAUGAGUUGAGUUUGUUGACUGUGAUGUCAGGUUACACCAGCAGAUA